GGCCACACUACAAGUCCCAGAAGUCCCCGGGGCGGAAAUGAAUUUCCAGCUAAACGCAAGUUGGGGCCCCGGGGGCGCGGCCGGGACUGCGCGGUCGCAGGGUUUCGAGGUAGAGAGUGGAAGAGCAGCCGGUCGCGGGCUAGGGCCUGGAGAGGAUUACUCGGGUCGAACGCUCUCUGAGGUCUUUCGUGUUCUGGACUAUACUUUCCAGAGGCCUCCGGGCGUAACGUCCCUUCCUUCUAAGGUGGUAAGCCCCGUUGUGCUGGAGCAAGCUGCACAGCGCCCCGGCGGAAGAAGCUUGGCCAGUGGGUUCGUUCCGGUCCCGCGGGACGUGAGCCUGACGCCGGGUAAGCUGAAGGUGACCAGAGACUGAGGGAAGAGCCGCUGUUGGACAACUGAGAGUUUUAUCCAAGGUAUUUUGCUGGUUGUUGGAAAGUUUCAGAAAAUAAUUAAUAUACUGUUAUAGGGUUUUUCAAGCUAUGGGGUUGUUACCUGAUUUUUGUGUGUGGUAAAUCAGUUUACUAAGCCCUGAUGACAAUUUCCCUAACUCUUCAUUGUAAAAAAUUCAAACCUGUACAAAAACAGACAAAACAGGAAUGUACGUCUAUGCACCACUUUGCUCAGCUACAGUAAUAACUGACUCAUCUUGUUUAAUCUGUACCUCUACCUACCUAGGAUUAUUUUGAAGCACAUCCCAGAAGUUGUAUCGUUCCAUCCAUAAAUGUGUAUAUAAAUGAUAGUCUUUUAAAAACUUAAACACCAUUGUUCUCCCUAAAAAAAUAAAUAAUAUUUCCUUAAUAUCGGAUUUCCA
This 811-nucleotide long non-coding RNA is filed under the name Ursus maritimus (polar bear). RNAcentral's name for it is "lncRNA (ENSUMAG00000005001.1)". The record is from RNAcentral. Lineage: Eukaryota; Metazoa; Chordata; Mammalia; Carnivora; Ursidae.